CGCUGGGUGAGCGGCGGAGAGAAGUGCCAACAGGAGGAGGGUUUGGGACGGGAGAGCAGAGCGAGUUAGUCAGCAGAGGUCGGCGGAGGGAGCCAUGAAAACAACUCUCCGGCGGGGAGAGGGGCAGGCGCUGCGCUCGGUGCGGCGGGGCUGAAGGAAAUCCGGGGCCGUGGAGGGACGGAAGGGGCCCGCAGAGGGCAGGCUGCGCCGAGCAGGGGCGAGCGCCCAGCCGCAAACACCCGUCCUGGGGCCGACCUCAGGCCUGGCCACGCAGGCUGGGGGCUUGGUCGGGGGCGACCCGGGACAGCCCAGUAGAGUUCGUUUGGGGCUGGGGGCUGGGCGCGAGGAGAUGACUCGCGUUUCUUUCUGACCCUUUUAUUGUGUAAACUUGGCCGCGCUUGCCACAGGAAGGCUAGCCAGAGGGUAAUUAUACAGGUGAGGCCCUGCGGGGCGGGCGGAGCUCCUGGCGAGGCGCUAGGGGUCUUGAAGAGUUUCCUGCGCCCAGGCACCAGGACGGAGAAUUUCUAUACCAGGCACUGCGGAGGUGCCACUGUUCCCAGCGGCAUUUUUUACAAAGGGCAUUUUGAAAACGGAGCGCUAGCCACAGAAUCAGCAGCAAACCUGUUGAAAGAACCCACAAGUGUAUUUCACUGCACCCUGGGUGGAAAUUGGAUGUGAAAAUGAAGCCAGACCGAGACAUUUGCUGGCAGGAACGUCAUAAACUCUGGGAUUAGAGGCCUUUGUAUCUUCCAACCACAUGUGAACUAUGGGAGUAAGGAGAUCCCCCCAAUACUGAAUAAGCUUUCCUACCUGUGUUAAGGAGGGGAUGGACAUGUCUCUUCCCCGC
RNAcentral lists this long non-coding RNA (847 nucleotides) under Ursus americanus (American black bear). Its description in RNAcentral is "lncRNA (ENSUAMG00000024067.1)". Lineage: Eukaryota; Metazoa; Chordata; Mammalia; Carnivora; Ursidae. The record is from RNAcentral.